RNAcentral lists this unclassified non-coding RNA (24 nucleotides) under Mus musculus (house mouse). RNAcentral describes it as "oocyte_clustered_small_RNA4169". The record is from RNAcentral. Lineage: Eukaryota; Metazoa; Chordata; Mammalia; Rodentia; Muridae.
UCUGGCACAUGGUGGGACUAUUAG